Felis catus (domestic cat) is the source of this 915-nucleotide long non-coding RNA. RefSeq lists it as uncharacterized. The record is from RefSeq and is a predicted model, not a curated record. NCBI's taxonomy places the organism in Eukaryota, Metazoa, Chordata, Mammalia, Carnivora, Felidae. The transcript has 2 exons.
AAAACCUUCCAAAGACGGACACCAAACCGGAUAAACACACGAACCCCCCUCAACAAGGCUGAGACUGAAGUGAUGAACUGAGGAAAUAUUUGUAACCUAUCGGCCAUGACAAAGGGUUCAAUCCAUUGUGUAAAAAGACCUUACAGAUCAGUAAGAAAAAAGCAAACAAAUAGCAAUUUGGAAAAGGACAGAAAGGCCAUGCGCAGAAGAAGUGCCCACAGGCAUCCAGCAUAACGCCGAACACGGAAUCCUGUCGAAGAGGCAGGAGGCAAAUGACAAGAUGCCGCUCUGCCCAACAGGCUGGCACAGAUUUAAAAGUGAAUACCCAGUAUUGCCGAGGGUGUGGGGAAAGAGCCCUAUGGGUCACAGUAUGACUCCGUGCAGUGUCUUGGGGCGGGAGGGGGGCAACUUGGCAACGUCUAUCAAGUUCUAGAAUUGUCGCAUGUGCUUCUCCUUUGAUCUAAGAAUCUUUAUCGUCUGCAAUACCAGGAAGUACCCAGGUGUCACCUGUCCCCACUGUGACCCUAUGCCAGAAGUUUGACUCCAUCCUCAAGGUCACAAAAUGGUCACUGGAGUGCCAGCCAUCGCGUAUACACUCCAGGCAGGAAGAAGAAGGAAGAAAACAAAAAAGGCACCCGCUGUUUUCUUUUUUGGAGCUUUCCUGGAAAACCUGCCCAGCAGCCUCUGCUUCUAUGUCAUCAGCCAUCUUUAUUGGCUUGGGAAGUGGGAAAUAGAAGUCUUUUGGCUGCUCACCUGGUCACUUUGAGCAGGCUCUUGUUCCACAUCCAAUCCCAGUUUUCUUUUACCUUGUUUGGGAUAUUGAGGGACAAGGAACUCUCUGAUGCUUGCAACUGCUAAAAGCAAGUCAGCUUGAUUUCUGAAACAAAAUGCUUUAAAACAGGGGCUUUGCUAAUG